CAAUAGCGUAUAUUAAAGUUGUUGCGGUUAAAAAGCUCGUAGUUGGAUUUCUGCUGAGAACGACCGGUCCGCCCUUUGGGUGUGUAUCUGGCUCUUUCUUGGCAUCUUCUUGGUGAACGUUGCUGCACUUGACUGUGUGGAGCGCUACCCAGGACUUUUACUUUGAGGAAAUUAGAGUGUUUCAAGCAGGCAUACGCCUUGAAUACAUUAGCAUGGAAUAAUAAGAUAGGACCUCGGUUCUAUUUUGUUGGUUUCUAGAGCUGAGGUAAUGAUUAAUAGGGAUAGUUGGGGGCAUUCGUAUUUAACUGUCAGAGGUGAAAUUCUUGGAUUUGUUAAAGACGGACUACAGCGAAAGCAUUUGCCAAGGAUGUUUUCAUUGA
Molecule: ribosomal RNA, 380 nt
Filed under: uncultured eukaryote
Lineage: Eukaryota
Description: partial 18S ribosomal RNA
Rfam family: Eukaryotic small subunit ribosomal RNA
Source: RNAcentral